Sycon ciliatum is the source of this 940-nucleotide long non-coding RNA. RefSeq lists it as uncharacterized. The record is from RefSeq and is a predicted model, not a curated record. NCBI's taxonomy places the organism in Eukaryota, Metazoa, Porifera, Calcarea, Leucosolenida, Sycettidae. The transcript is spliced from 4 exons.
CCUGCUCGUCUUCUCACUGCUCAGAGUCGGUUACAUCAACGAUGCCAUAGAUGCCUCUUUGAAUUUCAGGUGUUGGUGCGCCAGAUUACGGCACAAGCCAACCCGUUUGUGACUGUGGGUCUCCGGCCAUGGACAAGGUAGUCAAGGAGCUCUCGUCUCAGGCCGUGACUCUAGGUGCCACCACUCGCAACAACAAAAAUAAUCGGAUGAAGACCACUCACUGCACUUCUCAAACAAGCGAGUGCACGCGAAAAUUUCUUGGAGCGAAAAACAUGCAAAACACAAAUUUCGCGCGAACGUUCGCAAUAGUUUUCGCAACCCGGAACGCGAAAAUCAUUGCGAACGUUCGCUCUGCAAAACCUCUCUAUUAUGAUCGCCUUCGAUUAUUUAUUUUCGUUCUACUCGACAAUUCCAAAAAUCAGUGCCAUUGGCUUUAGCUUUGCCCUUGAACUUGAAAUCUCGUGCCUUAUUCUUUCCUGGGGACUGGUGUUGGAUAUUGAACGGGCGGAGUUACCGCCGGGAUGAUGGAUGAAGGAGAUGAUGGCCUAAACUUGGCUGCGCGCAUUCUCAUUUUCGCGUGGCCUGCCACUAGUGUUUCGCAGAUUCACAAAGGGUGUCACAGGCAUAGCUGGAGGAAGAAAGAUACUACACGAAUGCGAAACGCGACAAACUCUACAACGUCAUUAGCCUGGAGUUCACCAAGACUAAGUUGGAGCCUCAAGUGGAGUCACCCAGUCUGGUACGUCAUAUGGAUGGAGUGGACUUGGUGUGGCCGGAAACAUUGCGCGCUUUGCAGCAGGAGGCCACCAACCGACUGGUCGACAUGAAAUAUCCCAAAGUGCAAAAGUACUGCCUGAUGAGCGUCGGUGGCUGCUACACAGAUUUCCGUAUCGACUUUGGUGGCACAUCCGUCUGGUAUCACAUUCUCAAGGGUGGAAAG